AAAUACCAUCUUUGGUGCAAUAUUAAAACAGCCAUGAGUCUUUUGUGCCCAGUGUGUAAAGAAACUCUGAGUUAUAACUCAAAGGCACAACU
RNAcentral lists this small nucleolar RNA (92 nucleotides) under Dasypus novemcinctus (nine-banded armadillo). Its description in RNAcentral is "Small Cajal body specific RNA 1 (ENSDNOG00000029507.1)". It matches the Rfam family "Small Cajal body specific RNA 1". Rfam says of the family: scaRNAs are a specific class of small nuclear RNAs which localise to the Cajal bodies and guide the modification of RNA polymerase II transcribed spliceosomal RNAs U1, U2, U4, U5 and U12. ACA35 belong to the H/ACA box class of guide RNAs as it has the predicted hairpin-hinge-hairpin-tail structure, conserved H/ACA-box motifs and is found associated with GAR1. It is predicted to guide pseudouridylation of the U2 spliceosomal snRNA at residue U89. Lineage: Eukaryota; Metazoa; Chordata; Mammalia; Cingulata; Dasypodidae. The record is from RNAcentral.